Molecule: ribosomal RNA, 294 nt
Filed under: uncultured bacterium
Lineage: Bacteria
Description: partial 16S ribosomal RNA
Rfam family: Bacterial small subunit ribosomal RNA
Source: RNAcentral
GGAUUAGAUACCCUGGUAGUCCACGCCGUAAACGAUGUCAACUAGCCGUCGGGCUCAUUUAAGGGUUUGGUGGCGCAGCUAACGCGAUAAGUUGACCGCCUGGGGAGUACGGCCGCAAGGUUAAAACUCAAAGGAAUUGACGGGGGCCCGCACAAGCGGUGGAGCAUGUGGUUUAAUUCGAUGCAACGCGAAGAACCUUACCAGCCCUUGACAUCCCGGGAACUUUCUAGAGAUAGAUUGGUGCCUUCGGGAACCCGGUGACAGGUGCUGCAUGGCUGUCGUCAGCUCGUGCCG